AUUGAACGCUAGCGGGAUGCUUUACACAUGCAAGUCGAACGGCAGCGCGGACUUCGGUCUGGCGGCGAGUGGCGAACGGGUGAGUAAUGUAUCGGAACGUGCCCAGUAGCGGGGGAUAACUACGCGAAAGCGUAGCUAAUACCGCAUACGCCCUACGGGGGAAAGCAGGGGAUCGUAAGACCUUGCACUAUUUGAGCGGCCGAUAUCGGAUUAGCUAGUUGGGGAGGUAACGGCUCACCAAGGCGACGAUCCGUAGCUGGUUUGAGAGGCCGACCAGCCACACUGGGACUGAGACACGGCCCAGACUCCUACGGGAGGCAGCAGUUGGGAAUUUUGGACAAUGGGGGCAACCCUGAUCCAGCCAUCCCGCGUGUGCGAUGAAGGCCUUCGGGUUGUAAAGCACUUUUGGCAGGAAAGAAACGUCGCGGGCUAAUACCCCGUGGAACUGACGGUACCUGCAGAAUAAGCACCGGCUAACUACGUG
This 484-nucleotide ribosomal RNA is filed under the name uncultured bacterium. RNAcentral's name for it is "partial 16S ribosomal RNA". It matches the Rfam family "Bacterial small subunit ribosomal RNA", at positions 30 to 507 of the family's 1533-position model. The record is from RNAcentral.